CAGAAAAGCACUGCAGGUGAUGCUUUCAUUUGUCGCCUAGUAACAAGCCCAACAAGAACUUUGAUGAUCAGAUGUGAACACUUGGAAAGCAGAUUCUAGUGAAUGAAGAUCUGUGGCCUACCUUGAACAUUGCCAGCCCGGAUCUCUGCUCUGCUUCUCACAACGGGCAUGAUGGAGAGGUCUGUGGUUCCACUCCUCCUCUCAUAGCCUCGGAUGGAGGGAUGGGAGCUGAAGAAGUCACGCGUGAAAAACUGACGCAAAGUGGACCUGGCUUGAAUGAACUCAUAGAUGCUGCAGAUGGUUGAUAAUUCCUCCAAAGCUGGUGCUGCAGCUCGCCGAGGUUUCCUUUCAAGAACUCUGCAAGUGUGCGAGCUCUGUUGCCGUGGAGAUGAGCAGCAGUGGAUGCACUCCGCUUCUUCCCCUCCUGUCUUCUUUUCUUGGGCUUUCCGUCACUCUGCGCCUUUGCUUAAUUUAGUCAGUCAUGAUCAUCUGCGCGGCGGCCGGCUCCUCGCUCUGCUCUGUGCAGGAGAAAAACAUGAAGGGCAGAGUCAGAGGAUGAACACGCCGCCGUGAGCAUAAGGUCAUUCCCAUCUAAGGCUCAAAGAAACAUUCAAGUUUGGAUCAUUAAGGAAACUUUUUUCACUAUUUAAGCUACAGGUCUGUCCUAACCAAUAUUAAAAGUCACUAUAAACUUGCGUAUUUUUUUGUUUAAUUUUAGUUUUGUUUAACAUUGUUUCAUAGUUGAAAUCUGUCUUUUGAUUACAAAAUAAAGCAGUUUUAGGACAUUUCCUGGGGGAAAAAAUAAACUGUUUUUGUACUAGUUUCUGUAAUUGAUUGUGCAUCAUUUUAAUAUUUAUUAUUAUGUCACAUCUUGAGGGCAGAAAUGAUAUUUCAAGAUUUUUUUUCUUAGAAAUCAGUGUUAUGCUUUUAUUUUGUAGGACUUCUUCGCCAAAGUGUAGAAAAAAACAAAAAAAGCAUCAAAAUGUUCCCUAUUUUCAAUGUAUUCAUGUUCAAAAUUCAUAUAACUAAUUUAUCUGGAUUUUUCUCUAUUUUUAUGUUUUAAACAACAUUCAGUUUUUAAAAGUUACUUUUAAUGGUUUAGUCGGAGUUUACGGAGCAAACAUAAAAUUGUUUAGCAUCUUCAAAAAGGCUUUGGUUGACAAAUGAAUUCAGAAGCAGGGAUGAACUGACGUAUCAUGACUGACGUAUAUGAAGCAACCAAUCAGGAAACAGAGCUGAACAGAAUGAGCUCAAAGUUGAACUGCAGGAUCUGACCCAGCACCAUGACGACCACUGAAUAAAUGCACAAUUUGGGAACGUAAAACACAUACGUAUGUGAAACAGGUGCUAAAUAGAAAAAUGUCUCGACAUGAGAUUAAAUAAAUGAAAGAAUGUGGCAUUUGGUUUUAAUUUGAAGCGGGUAAAAAAAAAAACUUUUAUUCUAACUUUUUAAAAACUUUUUUAAACAUCAUAUUGUGCUCAUUUACAUAAAAGGUUUUCCCUGUAAAGCCAGAUUUCUAUAUGUAACGGUUGAAUCAAGCUAAUUAAUUCAAGAAGUUAUUCAAAUUUUGAGGUAUUGUUUAAAUUUUAUUUAAUGAUAAUAGAAUUUUAGUCAAAAUCGUUUUCGUUUUACAUAUUUAUCCUUCAAGUACUUUAUCUUUUAGUUUUAUUUUGGUUUCUAACUACAACAGUUUAGAGAUUUAUCUUUGAUAAAAUGAUC
Molecule: long non-coding RNA, 1720 nt
Organism: Oryzias javanicus (javanese ricefish)
Lineage: Eukaryota; Metazoa; Chordata; Actinopteri; Beloniformes; Adrianichthyidae
Source: Ensembl